RNAcentral lists this ribosomal RNA (253 nucleotides) under uncultured bacterium. RNAcentral's name for it is "partial 16S ribosomal RNA". It matches the Rfam family "Bacterial small subunit ribosomal RNA", at positions 524 to 776 of the family's 1533-position model. The record is from RNAcentral.
GACGGAGGAUGCAAGUGUUAUCCGGAAUCACUGGGCGUAAAGCGUCUGUAGGUCGUUUAAAAAGUCUACUGUUAAAAAUUGAAGCUUAACUUCAAAGGUGCCGUAGAAACUUUUAAACUUGAGUAUGGUAGGGGUAGAGGGAAUUUCCGGUGUAGCGGUGAAAUGCGUAGAUAUCGGAAGGAACACCAGUGGCGAAAGCGGCUUCCUGGUCCGACACCGACGUUCAGGCACGAAAGCGUGGGGAGCAAACAGG